GAUGAACGCUAGCGGCAGGCCUAAUACAUGCAAGUCGAGGGGUAUGGGUUGCUUGCAACCCAGAGACCGGCGCACGGGUGCGUAACGCGUAUGCAAUCUACCUUAAUCAGGGGGAUAGCCCGGAGAAAUCCGGAUUAACACCGCAUAACAUUGAGUUGUGGCAUCACAGUUCAAUCAAAUAUUUAUAGGAUUAAGAUGAGCAUGCGUGACAUUAGUUAGUUGGUGAGGUAACGGCUCACCAAGACCACGAUGUCUAGGGGAUCUGAGAGGAUGACCCCCCACACUGGUACUGAGACACGGACCAGACUCCUACGGGAGGCAGCAGUAAGGAAUAUUGGUCAAUGGGCGCAAGCCUGAACCAGCCGUGCCGCGUGCAGGAAGACGGCCCUAUGGGUUGUAAACUGCUUUUGUACCGGAAUAAACCUUCUCUUGCGAGAGAAGCUGAACGUACGGUAAGAAUAAGGAUCGGCUAACUCCGUG
Molecule: ribosomal RNA, 480 nt
Filed under: uncultured bacterium
Lineage: Bacteria
Description: partial 16S ribosomal RNA
Rfam family: Bacterial small subunit ribosomal RNA
Source: RNAcentral